CGGAGCUUAGGGAGGGGACGGUAUCGGGAGGGACCCAGGGACUGGGAGGCCGGUCGGGGCUGGGCUCAGGGGCCGAGACGGAGCGAGGGAUCCAGGGUGUGGGAAACGGGGAGGGGUUUGAGGAGGGGAUCGGAAUGUGGCUCAAGUUCGGGAGGCGUUACCUGCGGAGGGUUUGAGGCAGGCCCAGGAGCGAGCCCACGGUCUGCCGACGCGGGGCCAGGGGCGGGCCCCAGGAUCCGGAGCUUCGGGCGGGGCCAAGUCUGGGUUUGGGGCCCGGUAGGCGGGGCCAGUUAGGGCGAGGGUCCCUGGGAUGGUCGGGUCAGGCCUUGGGCUAACGUAGACACUCUCGCAGUACCUCCGCCUUCAGGAAGGUCUUUUUAGCAAGGGCCUUACAGGUGCGCGCUUCGGUCCGGGAGGCCUUAUCCUAACCUCCUCUCCAUCAGCGCCACCCGUCUGGGGCCCGAAAGGAGGGAGCUUUCCCUCUGUCCUCCAGCCUUUGGACUGUCUCCAAACAAGCCAUUCCUUCACCAAAUACUUAUUAAGCGCCUACCAUGUGCCUGACAAGGGAGAUGUAACGCUGUUGUUCCCCACCAGAACCAAAUGAGCGCAAGAUCUGACAAAGAAAAAAAAGAUGCAUCUUUUAUUCCCCCAAACACUUUCAUUUAAAUCAAGAAGGUGGGAUGUGGUUAUUGCUGUGUUUUUAGACAGAAUCAACGGUUUCUGGGUCUGAGAUGUUGCAUACACCCUCUCAGUCCCUGUAUCCUGAGAUGGAGUCACCUGAGGAUCCACAAUAGGGUCUCUCUCUCUGCCACCCAGGCCAGAGUGCAGUUGACGCAGGGCAGGGGAGCCCCGAAGUGGAGCAUAGUGUGUCCGGAACUGGUGGGUUCUUGGUCUCACUGACUUCAAGAAUGAAGCCGUGGACCCUCGCGAGAUGAGAUCUCGCUAAUUUGCCCGGGCUGGUCCUGAACUCCUGGGUUCAAGUAAUUCUCCUGCCUCAGCCUCUCAAAGUGCUGGGAUUACAGGCGUGAGACACCAUGCCAGGCUUGUGGUGAGUUUUAAAAUUUUCCAAUGUCUCAGUGUUUCUACCUGUAGAAUGCCAAAAAGUAGAUGGCAUCUUUGCGAGGAUUAAGCUGACUCGCUUUUUUUUUUUUUUUUUUUUUUUUUUGAGACAGAAUUUCUCUCUUGUCACCCAGGCUGGAGUGCAAUGGUGUGAUCUUGGCUCACUGCAACCUCUGCCUCCUGGAUUCAAGUGAUUCUCCUCUCUCAGCCUCCAAGUAGCUGGGAUUACAAAGCCAGCUAGCUUUAAGAUACAGUGUUGGGCAUCACAUUUUGGCAUGGAGCAGGCACUCUUUUCUUUGCUCUCAGGUGGGACUAAGCCACAACAAGCCUUCCCUGGUGUGUGCAGUGGGUGAUGAAUGCUUGCCUGCUCAGCACCCACUACAUGGUGGGCUGGGUCACAUUACUCUGACUCCCCCUUGAGCUUCAGUCCGUGCCUGGUUCAAGAUGUAUUGACUCAAUUCGAGGAUCCAGAGGUGGGAUGUGGCUCUGGCCUGGCCAGAGGACCGAAGAUGCUGCAUGGCAUGGCUACAGCAACUGGUUCAGCUUUGGGCUCAUGUCCUAGUCAGAGCCAAUGAGAUGUAAUCUUGGGAUAGCUGCUGGGCUGUUGGGAAGGGGACAGGCUGCCCUGCUCAUCCCCAUUCCUGAUGCUGAGGGAUCUGAGAAAAUCACUUGUAAAAUUUGGGGGUGUUUGGAAGACGGGGAGACUGAUGUCUCCUUCUCUCUACGGACAUCUGAUCAGCUACAGAGCUUGACUGACUACCCAGAGGCAGAAUGAUAUGGUGGUUAAAAGUGUGCCCUGGGCUGAGAUCUUGCCACUGCACUCCAGCCUGGGUGACAGAGUGAGACUCCGUCUCAAAAGAAAAAAAAAAGUGUUCUCUGGGCUGGACGCGGGAGCUUAUGACUGUAAUCCCAGCACUUUGGGAGGCUGAGGCAGGAGGAUCGCUUGAAGUCAGGAGUUUGGGAUCAGACCCUAUCUCUAGAAAAAUGUUUUAAAAAUUAUCUGGGUUGGUGGUGAAUGCCUGUAGUCCCAGCUACUCAGGAGGCUGAGGCGGGAAGAUUGCUGGAGCCCGGGAGUUCAAGGCUGCAGUGAGCCAUGAUCAGGCCACCGCACUCCAGUUUGAGGCACAGAGAGAGACCCCAUCUCCCUAAAGAACAAAAAAGUGUGCUCUGGUGCCGCACUGCCUGGUUAGAUCCUUUGUCCACCACUUAGAUGCAUGUUAUAUAAAUGCUCUCCUCAGUUUCCUCAUCUGUAACUUGGGGAUGAUAAUGCUGCCCCAUUAAGUGGUUAUGGGGACUAAAUGCAUGUGGGCACAUUGGUAAGUAUUCAACAAGCUUGAUUUUUCCUGGAGAGGGAGAAAGAGCGUACAGUGAAGUGGCAUGGUCAGGUGCAUUGGGGCAAGGAUUAUUUCCUCUGGCUUCUGCCUCCUGGGAGGUACUAAGGAUGGAUCUGAAAUGUGUCUGCAGACCCCAGAGUUGGGGACUGCAGACGGAAAUUGAGAUCAGGGAUCCCAGUCUGGCAGAAAUGGGUGCAGCAAGAGGCAUUGGGUUCCUUCCAUCAGAGGCAUGGGUUGUGUUGCAGACAGUCAUGAGAUGUGGCUGAAUCUUGCAAGGGAGCUGCAGUCCUAGGGUUGCUGCUUGAGACAAUGACUGCUGUCAGUGGAAUCUGGUACCUUCACCCUUCUGUGUCAGGCUGCAGACAGCAAGAGAUGGCAGGAGGUUACACCCAACAGGAAAAGGGCCAUUGCUAUCCCACAGGUUGCCAUAGGAGGAGAUGACACCUCUUCCCUCUCCUCCUCCAGCAGUGUCAGCUGGGGAAGAGGUGGGUGGGGGUGCACAAAAGAGUAGACUGCAGACCAUACUCCUUCUCCUCCAGUCUGCUGGGGCCCCAAGAGAGUCUGCAGCCCUUGGCCAGGGACUGGCUGAUACAGGAGAACAGAAGAUCUCAGGCUGCGAUAACAUGGUGGUGCAGCUGAUCCUCUGGAACUCCCUGUGAGAUCAGACUGGAGCCAGUCUCCAGCUGAGACCACAUCUCACUUAGCUCCUUCCCUGCCAUAUCCUGUUUUCCUUACUCCUAUCUACUGAGAGUCCUGAAUGAAUUACAUACACUCAAUCCCUGCCUCAGGCUCUGUUUUUAGGGAACUUGACCUAAGACAGAUAUCUUAGUACUAAAUACUUUGCAAGGCCUCAGAAGCUCUGCUAUCCACAGGCAGGUGAGAUAUUACCUUCCCUACCACCUGGCAGUCAUAGUCUAUGAUGCGAUUCAGCUUUGUGGAAGUGCUUCUGUAAAGAACUUCCCCCAACUUAAGAUGAUCUUAAUUUGCUUACUUGUUUACUGUCCAUUUAGCUGCUCUAAAAUGUGAGCUCCAAAUCAGGGGCCAUGUCUGGUUGGUUACCCAUUUCCUGGGACCUAGAACGGGCCUAGCUCAGAGCAUGUGCUCACUAUUGAUGGAAUGCAUGUUGAAAGAAUGCAUGAAUCUCAUCUCCUUUUGUGGGUGAAAAACUCAUCCUAUUCUCACUCCUGAUUAACUUUCUUUCUUUUUUUUUUUUUUUCAAAACGGAGCCAUGAUCUGUCACCCAGGCUGGAGUGCAAUGGUGCGAUCUCGUCUCGCUGCAACCUCUGCCUUCUGGAUUAAAGCAAUUCUCCUGCCUCAGCCUCCCGGGUAGCUGGGAUUACAGUUGCACGCCACCACGCCCGGCUAAUUUUUUGUAUUUUUAAUAGAGACAGGGUUUCGCCAUGUUGGGCAGGCUUGUCUUGAACUCCUGACGUCGUGAUCUGCCUGCUUUGGCCUCCCAAAGUCCUGGAAUUACAGGCAUGAGCCACCGUACCCAGCCACUCUUGAUUAACUUAAUGGAAAUAUUUACAGAGAUGCUUUCUCUUCUGGGUUCUAGCGUCUUAUCUGUAACCUCUGCAGGGGAGUCACUGAGCAGAAGGAAGCGAGUUGCCUGAGAUUCUUCAAAGCCCCAGCCCUUUUGGAGGUUACAUUGUUAUUCUCAGAGCCUUUAUGAUGCAUAAUAAAGACCUAGCUUGGACC
Gorilla gorilla gorilla (western lowland gorilla) is the source of this 4091-nucleotide long non-coding RNA. RefSeq lists it as uncharacterized. The record is from RefSeq and is a predicted model, not a curated record. NCBI's taxonomy places the organism in Eukaryota, Metazoa, Chordata, Mammalia, Primates, Hominidae. The transcript has 5 exons.